UCCCUGCUGGUCCAGUGCUUAGAACUCUGCACUUUCACUGCUGAGGGCACAGGUUCAAUCCCUGGUGGGGGAA
Molecule: transfer RNA, 73 nt
Filed under: Bos taurus (domestic cattle)
Lineage: Eukaryota; Metazoa; Chordata; Mammalia; Artiodactyla; Bovidae
Also listed under: 5 other names
Rfam family: tRNA
About the family: Transfer RNA (tRNA) molecules are approximately 80 nucleotides in length. Their secondary structure includes four short double-helical elements and three loops (D, anti-codon, and T loops).
Source: Rfam by way of RNAcentral